GACAAUGGCUGAAUAAACCUUUUGAAACUACAUCUCUCUGUCUACUCCACUCCUUCGUUAUCCGGGGACCCGGAAGACUGCAGGAAUGUUACCUACCUGGCUAUUCCUGAGUCUGGCUAUGAAGUGGAUUUGAUGGAAAACUAGAAAUGGGAAAAAUGGAAAAUAUGAUUGGAAAACUGAGUUACCUGAAUCCAAACAAAGAUUGGACAUUUUGAGGCCCAUAAUUAUGCAGGCCCUUGAACUGAAUGUUGAAGGGGAAUAGAGAUGUCAAGAUUCCAAGAGACAAUAAUGAGGGCCUCCCUAUCCCUGAGACACAACAGUUUUGAAAUUUGGCCAAUUAAUAACCCUACCAUGGUGUCUAAGUCUUCAAGUGAAAGGAAGAGUCAAUCAGUGGGACAACCUUCAUUGUUGUCUCAUUUUAAGACAUUGCCAUAGCCACCCCAAUGUUCAGCAACCACUGACCUUAUCAA
Non-coding RNA from Phascolarctos cinereus (koala), 470 nucleotides. NCBI's taxonomy places the organism in Eukaryota, Metazoa, Chordata, Mammalia, Diprotodontia, Phascolarctidae. The record is from RefSeq and is a predicted model, not a curated record.